GUGGGGAAUAUUGGACAAUGGGCGCAAGCCUGAUCCAGCCAUGCCGCGUGUGUGAAGAAGGCCUUUUGGUUGUAAAGCACUUUAAGCGAGGAGGAGGCUCCUUUAGUUAAUACCUAAAGAGAGUGGACGUUACUCGCAGAAUAAGCACCGGCUAACUCUGUGCCAGCAGCCGCGGUAAUACAGAGGGUGCGAGCGUUAAUCGGAUUUACUGGGCGUAAAGCGUGCGUAGGCGGCUUUUUAAGUCGGAUGUGAAAUCCCUGAGCUUAACUUAGGAAUUGCAUUCGAUACUGGAAAGCUAGAGUAUGGGAGAGGAUGGUAGAAUUCCAGGUGUAGCGGUGAAAUGCGUAGAGAUCUGGAGGAAUACCGAUGGCGAAGGCAGCCAUCUGGCCUAAUACUGACGCUGAGGUACGAAAGCAUGGGGAGCAAACAGGAUUAGAAACCCGGGUAGUCC
Molecule: ribosomal RNA, 451 nt
Filed under: uncultured bacterium
Lineage: Bacteria
Description: bacterial SSU rRNA
Rfam family: Bacterial small subunit ribosomal RNA
Source: RNAcentral